This 805-nucleotide ribosomal RNA is filed under the name uncultured archaeon. RNAcentral's name for it is "bacterial SSU rRNA". It matches the Rfam family "Bacterial small subunit ribosomal RNA", at positions 102 to 924 of the family's 1533-position model. The record is from RNAcentral.
ACUGCUCAGUAACACGUGAGUGACCUGCCCGGUAGUGGGGGAUAGCCCCUCGAAAGAGGGGGUAAUACCGCGUAAGCUCGCUGGUUUAGAUACUGGUGAGGGAAGCAGAGAUGCGCUACUGGAGGGGCUCGCGGCCCAUCAGGUAGUUGGUGGGGUGAUGGCCUACCAAGCCGAUGACGGGUAGCUGGUCUGAGAGGAUGAUCAGCCAGACUGGGACUGAGAGACGGCCCAGACUCCUACGGGGGGCAGCAGGGGGGAAUCUUGCACAAUGGGCGGAAGCCUGAUGCAGCGACGCCGCGUGAGGGAAGAAGGUCUUCGGAUUGUAAACCUCUUUUGACAGGGAAGAUAAUGACGGUACCUGUCGAAUAAGCCCCGGCUAACUACGUGCCAGCAGCCGCGGUAAUACGUAGGGGGCGAGCGUUGUCCGGAUUUACUGGGCGUAAAGAGCGCGUAGGCGGCUCGAUAAGUUGGCUGUGAAAGGUCCUGGCUCAACUGGGAUAAGUCAGCCGAGACUGUCGGGCUUGAGGGCGGUAGAGGAAGGUGGAAUUCCGGGUGUAGUGGUGAAAUGCGUAGAUAUCCGGAGGAACACCGGUGGCGAAGGCGGCCUUCUGGGCCGUACCUGACGCUGAGGCGCGAAAGCGUGGGGAGCGAACUGAAUUAGAUACUCAGGUAGUCCACGCCCUAAACGAUGGACGCUAGGUGUAGGGGGUAUCGACCCCUCCUGUGCCGAAGCUAACGCAUUAAGCGUCCCGCCUGGGGAGUACGGCCGCAAGGCUAAAACUCAAAGGAAUUGGCGGGGGAGCAC